RNAcentral lists this ribosomal RNA (253 nucleotides) under uncultured bacterium. RNAcentral's name for it is "partial 16S ribosomal RNA". It matches the Rfam family "Bacterial small subunit ribosomal RNA", at positions 524 to 776 of the family's 1533-position model. The record is from RNAcentral.
UACGGAGGGUGCGAGCGUUAAUCGGAAUUACUGGGCGUAAAGCGCGCGUAGGCGGUUUGUUAAGUUUGAUGUGAAAGCCCUGGGCUUAACCUGAGAACUGCAUUGGAUACUGGCAGGCUGGAGUGUGGUAGAGGGGUGUGGAAUUUCCGGUGUAGCAGUGAAAUGCGUAGAGAUCGGAAGGAACACCAGUGACGAAGGCGGCACCCUGGACCAACACUGACGCUGAGGUGCGAUAGCGUGGGGAGCAAACAGG